Molecule: unclassified non-coding RNA, 249 nt
Filed under: Hevea brasiliensis (rubber tree)
Lineage: Eukaryota; Viridiplantae; Streptophyta; Magnoliopsida; Malpighiales; Euphorbiaceae
Source: RNAcentral
GUUAGAUCAAUUUAGAAAGCAAUCAGGUGAACAACCAGGACAGAGUGGAUCUAUAGAUUGUAAAGAGAUGUUAGAUCAUAUUAUUUCACGGUUGAAAGAAAAAUCCUGUCUCAUUGUUUUUGAUGACAUCUGGGGCGACAAGCAUUUCACUUGGUGGGAGGGCUUUUUCUCUUAUGUAUCAACUAUAGCUCAUAAACAAACUUGCUUUAUUAUCACGACCAGGGAUAAAGAAGUUGCGUAUGCUAUCCA